GUUCGGGCACGGCUCGCUGGCUGGAAAGGCCGCCUGCUAUCCACUGUCAGAUGGAGGGUUUUGGUCAGAAGCGUCCUGUCUGCCUUGCCGACGUAUGCGAUCUCCGUUCUCAGGGCGCCAGUCAAGUUUUUGAAAGAUAUAGACAAGGUCCGCCGGCGUUUCCUCUGGGCGGGCGAUGAGGAUCUAACUGAGGGGAAGUGCAAGGUGAAUUGGUCUCGAUUGUGCUCGCCGGUGCAACACGGAGGCUUGGGCAUCCUGAAUCUGCUGAAAUUUAGCCAUGCACUUCAGCUCAGGUGGUUAUGGCUCGCCUGGUAG
Molecule: ribosomal RNA, 315 nt
Filed under: Triticum aestivum (bread wheat)
Lineage: Eukaryota; Viridiplantae; Streptophyta; Magnoliopsida; Poales; Poaceae
Description: partial small subunit ribosomal RNA
Source: RNAcentral